Poecilia latipinna (sailfin molly) is the source of this 5473-nucleotide long non-coding RNA. RefSeq lists it as uncharacterized. The transcript is spliced from 2 exons. Lineage: Eukaryota; Metazoa; Chordata; Actinopteri; Cyprinodontiformes; Poeciliidae. The record is from RefSeq and is a predicted model, not a curated record.
UUAAAGUCUAUGUCUGGUGAAUUUUUGAUUAACACACAUUUGUUCUUCAUUCAGAGGUGAGAGUCCAGAAAUGAGCGUCCACACGAAAAAUAAAGUCAAUAGUUACAACACUAUUUUCUAAUAAAGUUGCUAAGCUUCAGCUCAUUGAUAAGCUGGUCGUAGGUCGCCAUCUUUCUUGAAGCCAAGUAGCAUGAAGACAACGCCCCUCUUCAUUAUCACAAUGAAGCAGAAAUGAAUAAGGAAAUGGAAACAGCACAGGGAGAAAUAAAUGUGGGAACAUAAGUAAAAUAAUAAACAAAUAAAUAAAUAAAACAAAUAAAUGCAUACUGUAAAUAAAUAAAUAGAUAAAUACAAAUAAGAAUGAAAAAGCCAGUUAUUUAUUAAUUUAAUUGUAUCUGAAAUGGCUCUCCUUAAUCUUCAGACAGAGAAAGAAAUGUGUGUGUGAUUUUUAGUUGGUGUAUAUUAAUAUCUGGUUUCAACUGUAGUAUUGUAGCAUGUUAAUUUUAUACAUUUUGGUUUUCUACUGUAAUUGUAUAGCACAAAGUAACUUCACAAAUAAGAUUUUUUUUAUUAUUUUUAUGAUAAUUUCAUGUGUGAUGUAGUAUAAACGUGGAAAAAACAUUAACAGCAGGCAGUUCAUUCAUUAACAAUGAGGAAGAUUGUGGAUAAGACAUUAUGGAUUUUGCUAGAGAGGGGCUCUGACAGAAUGCACUUUCAACAUGAAGUAACAGGAGAAAACAAGAAGUCGAAGAAACACUAAAAUAGAGCAGAGCAGGAUAUGUUCAAGCUGAAUCAGAUCCCAGUUCUUUGAGUUGAUCUUAAACAAACAACAUUAAUUUAAGUCAUUUCUUGAGGGUAAAAUGACUCAAGCUGCAUAGAGAAGGAGGUUCAUGGCAAUCAAAAUGCUAAUGCAGUACAAAUGAAUUACUGUUAAAGCAAAGCAUAAUGAAAUGAAAGUAAGGUCUGACAGCAACAGGUUUAAAUACAGAGCUUCUCAUUUCGCCUCGCUUCGCCCAUGCAGAAAAAGUGAGAAACUGUAAGAAGAAAAGGAUUUUAUGGAGGAGCUCUGGACAGAAGUGAAGAGCAACUAAAAUGGAUAUGGGAUUGAUAACUUUAUGCAACAAAGCUUUAAAAUAUUUGUAAGGAUUCAGAUGAAAUUCUUAAAGCUGCAAUAUGUAACUUUCAUUAAAAAAAUUGUAUAUAUUUGUUGAAGUCAUCACUGUGUUGUGACAGUAUGGUAAGAAACAGAUCUAUGGGAAAAUAAAAAAUAAAAAAUCAAGCUCCUCUGCCAUUUCAUAGCGUUAUCUAGAAACAACCAAUGGGAGCCAGUAGGAGAAUCUUAGUGCUGUCAAUCACCACUUCACAGCUGCUCACCAUGUGCAAUGUGCACAUUUAGCCCAUCAGCCAGGAGGACAAUGGUUGUUCUUAGGCAGGAUGACUCAGAAGUGGUGCAUUUCUUCAGACAGGAUUAGCAGCUCAGAGUGAAGGAGAUUGAUCUGUUCAUAUAUUUUUUUUUCUCUCAUAUUAUACUUUCACAAUAUAGCAACAGUUUUAACAAAUAUGUAAAAAAAAAUUUCUAAAAGUUACACACAGCACCUUUAAAAGGAAUUAUUGUUAUUUUCUAAUCAGGUCAAGUGACAUAUACACAUGGUCACAGAGGUAAUAAUGAAUACAAAAUCGAGCUCCUCUGCCAUUUCACAGUGUUAUCUAGAAACAACCAAUGGGAGCCAGGUUAUAUGAAAAUGAACAAAUGAAAGUCAGACAUGGCUUUUCAGAUAUGGUUUAACAGAUUAUUUUUAAAAAAAAAUAAACCCAUGAAACAAGCCUGGACAAAAAUGAUCAGAGCCAGCCCAAGCCUCCAUGGGGCCCUAAGCAAAAUUUGGUUUUUGGGCCCUCUAUUUCUGCUAAUAAUGUGGAUUGCUGCAAUCAACAGUCAGACAAUUAGAUCAUUCAUACAACUGCUAAACUCAUUGAGAAGCAUAAAGAGGAAGCGAAGGAUUCUGGGACCAACAAUAAAAUCAGGAGAUUAGAAAGAAAACUAGAGACAAGCAGUUAAAAGUACAGGUUAUAAGACCAUCUCCAAGCAGCUUGGACUGUGACUACAGUUGUACAUAUUAUUCAGAAAUUUAAGAUCCAUGGGACUGUAGCCAACCUCCUUGGACGUGGCAACAUGAGGAAAAUCCAUGACAAAACAAAGAGAUGGAUAAAAUGAAUGGUAGGAGUCCUAUUGUGCAUCUUUGGAAGGAGCUGAAACAUAUCGUCUGGAAAAGGCUUCAAACUUGAGACAACUGGAGCAGUUUGCUCAUGAGUGGGAUAAAAUACCUGCUGAGAGGUUCAGAAGUCUCAUGGACAGUUAUAUGAAUGUUUGAUUGCAGUGAUUGCCUCAAAAGGUUGUGCAACAAAAUAUGAAGUUAAGGGUACCAUCAAAAAGAAUGGUAUCCAGGGCUGUUUCAUGAGUUUAUUUUUUUAAAUAAUUCUGUAGAAGCAUGUUUGAAAAGCCAUGCUUGACUUUAAUUUGUUCAUUUUCAUAGAAUGUUUAUUCAUUAUUACCUCUGUCAGAUUCAAGUUAUUUCUGUGAUCAUUGUGGGUUAUUUUUUCAUUAACUGAGGGGAACCAACAAUUUUGCCCAUGUGUGUAGUACUGUCAUUGAUAUUCUGACUCCUUCCAUUUUAUUGUAGGUCCCAGAAUUCAGUGUGGCUCUGUGUUUGUGUCUGUUUUGUUCUUUAGCAGUGAGGAUCCUCAAUUUUUAACACCUUCAUUAGCUAAUGAAGGUGUUAAAGUUCUGUAGACCUUAAGGUCUCUUUUGAAUGCAUCAGCAUUUUACUUAUAUUUAAUCUCUUGUAUACCUUUCUAUUAAUUUUUUUUAUCUACUGCUCUGAGAGAUUAGGAAGAAUUGUUUAUCUGUUUUAUUGGUUUUAUAUGUUAUGCUUGUGUCAAGUAUCCAUACUGCAUUGAUUAUAUUGGAGAAUACACUAAAAUAUUCCAGACAUUUUUAUGUUAUUGAUGAUAAAGCAUGAGGAAAAUUCAUGUCUGGAUUUAAUUAAGACAAGAAAAAACAGUCUGCAUAGUCAAAGUGUCUGUGUGCUGGACUGUGACAUCUGCAAUACAGAGCAGGGGCUUUUGGAAACAUAAAAUCAGACAGAAAUGAUUAACCAGUAAACACCUGUAACUAAAUAAAAUAUUGCACUACUGUGGUGAUCCACCAUGUCUGAGUCUGCAAAGAGUUACUGGAGAGAACUGGAAAAAGAUGACCACAUCCCUCUGUGACAGAAUCAGUACCAAGUGUGAGCUGACGGCAGCUUCCACUCUCUACAAGUUCCAGUCAUCAGCAGCUUUAGUCAACAAAUAGAAGUUUUCUGGACCAAGUGUUAAAGAUGUCAAUAAUAACAGUCACCUGGGAUUCUGUAGUUUAUUGUGAUGAGUAUCCAGAUAAGUUGGACUGGUCAAUUCAAUGUACAGCACUACUGUUCUUUCAGUUCUACCUAAGAAUAACACAGUGAUGAGCAGAGCCACAGCAGUAAACAAUAGCAACAGGACUGUGCAGCAACAAGCUCACCCACACCAGCCACUUGCACUAAAGGGAAAAUCACAAGCACAUGUCUGAAUUUACACACUAAAAACAUACAUGCAAGCUGUGGAAAAAAGCUUACAGAUUUUCAAGCAAAGAGAAGCUAUGUUAGCUAUACAUCAUAUCACACAGCAAGGGUUAAACAACCAGUUUGGAAUAUCUGUGGCUGAUUUUGAGAACUUGACCAAAAGAUCACCUCCAAAACUUUCUUUAAUUUUAAAUUGAUUUCCAUUUGAGCAGCAGAGAUGAUGUCAAUACCAGAAGAACAGAAUCCUAUCAGUUAAUCUUAAUAAGAUGUACUUAUUGAUCAACUAAAAACAAGAUCAAUAAGUUAAAUUUACAAACAAAGCUAUGGUCACUUAUUUCUGUUGAUCAAUUAAACUCAGAAAUAAAUUUGUGAAUUAAUAACACAGUUUCUUUAAGGGCAGCAUAAGUUUUGGGGCAAUUUUGUUCCACUGACUCAAUUUUGUUUGACUUUAUAUCUAAAAUGAAAGGUCUUUUGAACACGCUGUAAACAAAAUAUUGUUUAAGAUUUCAAGUGACCAUAACGUUACUGCUAUUACUGUUACUCUCCUCAACGUAUUGUUUGUACUCAUCUUAAAUAAGUUGAAUUAACUUUUGGAUAAGAAAUGUUUAAUAAGUUAUUCUUUUUAACUUGAGUCCAUGUAAAACAGUUAAGUAUUUGACUGGCCAACAAGGUAACCCACAAUACAUUUUACCACCACCAGCUGCAACUAAUUAAACCACCUUUUUAUUUGUCACAAAAAAUAGUUUUUAGAUGCUUAAGGUAGACUCUAAAGCUUCAUCUAUGCAGUCAGUUCAUCAACAACUCUAUCAGCUAGUUUAUGAGAUUUAACAGCACACAGAACUACUACUCACCAUGACCGAGUUGUAUGUUUAUUUUCAUGACCACCCUAGUCUGCCUUAGGUGCCACCUCCCAAAAUUGACUCAUUUUUUGUCAUUAGUUAUUUCUUUGUCUAAAUUAUAUUAAACCAAUAUUUUGGUUUCUAUAUUUUCUGUCAAAGUUCAGCAGAGAAACAAAUAAAAAGUAAGGAACUGUUUCAAUGAAGUUGUUUUCUUUUUAUGUAUCUAAUUUCUAGGGGGAAAAAAAAAUUAUGUUUUGGUCAUUGUUUAAGCAAAUACAACAUACUCAGAUUAAUUAAAUUAACUUAAAUUAUGUUUACUAAAAUUGCAAAAGUUAUUGUUGCUCAAUCAGUACAGUUUUGAAAACAAUUUGUUUAAGCAAGUUUGUAUAUGCUUUUAAAGUAAACUCCACUUAUUUCAUUUCAAGCCCCCUGGCUUAAAUCAAAAUAUGCCAGAGGUAUAAAAACUUUAAACACAGGCUAAUAAACUAAGAAUUCUAGGCUGUUUUUUCAAGUUGAUGUUUUGUUCAUAUAAGCAAUCAGGCCCCUGCUGCGCAAUUAACUCGAUGCACUGAUCUAGAGCAUUCUAAAUACCACUGUAUUUUUCUACACAUUUACUUCUCCAGCCAUGCUGGCUCCUUUAAAUUAGAAACACCUCUCAUUUCACCAGACCAAUCAGACUGGAGAUUGGCUACGGUUCAGAUGAAGACAAAAAACAUAUUUUGAUUGGCUAGUAAAGAUUGGUACAUUUAUCUUGACCAAACAAAUUGUUUUUAAUAGAGUUGCUGUGGUGUCCAAAAAGUGGAAACAAAUUUAUAAUCCUGAGAUAAAUAACAGUGCUUGGGGUCAAAGCACUAUAAUGAGUUACCUGACAGAUUCGAAUGGCGUUGUCCAAAAUUGUUUUUGUAUCAGUUGUGUAGUCACUACAUGGGAGUUGGGUGUGGCUGAAGUGUGCUUGCAGCAAAAGAUGAGUCUUGGUGUGUGCACUGUCAAAGGAGCGGGGGUUGACCUGCAGAGGGAGCUGCUGAGCUAGCUGGCUGU